ACAACACUGCGAUGAAAGAUAUAUUCUUGAAAGUCAUGGGUGACGAACGACAUGGCCAUGUCUGCACUUACGAGUUAGGUCCCUCUCCUUCUGAUAUAUGGGGCACAACAUCCCACAAUGUCCAGUCCCAAGGGAUGGCCUCCAAUGCUGAGAAGAGAGAUGAAUAAUACGAGGGAUUGCAUGCUGAAAUAUCUUUCCUAAGAGAAACUAUGGCUGAUAAAGAUGCUCAAAUAUCUUCACUAAGAGAAACUAUGACAACAUUUAUGGCUACCAUAAUGAAUCCAAGCAUUAAUCUAGCUACAUUAUUAGGUGUUUCAGCUAAUCCCAACUUGAACCAACCCUCCUCAUCAUCAAGCCACUUGGUUCCAACCCCUCAGAGAGACUUGGCGAAUAAGGGGAAUUCUAUGAGUUGCACUAAUGUGACUCAAGUUCUUCUUAAGAGUAUUGUAAAGCCUGAGGAUACUAUAACUAAAGGAACCGUUUUGAGCACGGAUCCAUUGACAAAAGUAGGGGGCAAAAACUUGGAGUUGGUUUCUGGGAAGUAUCUGUUUAAGUAGCAAUGGUACGUGAUGUGGAUUUGAUAAGGACCCAUGGACGAUAUAAAACAAUUGGGGAUGCAAUUGGAACGAGUAUUGCUUGGCCCACUACUUUAUGUAUGGUUGUAGACAGAAAUGGGUGAUGACUACAUGGGAGAAGUUUUUAUUAAGUAUUUAGAACUAGACACAUCUUUUAUAAGUGGGGGUAGUAGGGAUCCAUGGUUUCAGACUUUUUGGAUUGAGUUAGACACAUCUAAACAGUUUAUUUUUAACUUAGUUUAAUUAUAGAAGGCACAUCUAAACUCAUCUAAUCUCUUUAAUUUAAUCUUAGUUUUAUAAGAUUAUGAUUUGUGAUUUGAAUUUUGCAUUUGGAUGUCUUUAAUUUAAUCUCUUCUGUUUCUUUUCUUUUUACACGUGAUCACUUGGUCAUCAUAUUUGUAGUGUAAUAGUUCCUAUCAUACCUUUUAGUAAAUUUGUAUAUAAGUCUUAGGCUCCAUUUGCUCAUCACAUCAAUCUUUAUGAAUAUAAUUUUUUCUCAAACCAAAUGGAGCUUAAGCCCUUUUUUAACUCCGCCAAUGCAACUUCUUGCAUUGUCGGUCCCAAGCCCGGGUAAAGGAGGAGGGAAAAGGGGCGUCAAGGUGAGUUGUGUCAUUCUUUUCCAUUUUAUUUUACAUACAAUGUUAAUCUUCAGGUCACUCGACUAAUUUUCAAGUCACUUGACUAAUUUUCAGGUCACUUGACAUAGUCGGCAUGGCCCACCCUCUGUUUGGUUGUAAGUGAAGUUGAUCUAUGUACUUUCAUAUGACAUGAUAUUUUAGAGGUCAGGCCAAUUAUCUGUCCUCUCCCAUUAACUUUUUCGUCUCUUUGAUUUGUCUGGAUGUUGUUUCUGCACGUAUCAUCUUCCAGGCCGAUUUAGUAGUGAAAAAUCUUUAUCUUAAAUUAUUGAUAGAAAUAAUGAGGCAGAGGCAGGUAAGUGCUGUGAAGAAGGUAAUUGCUGUAAUGACUGUUGGGAAGGAUGUUUUGUCGCUGUUUACAGAUGUUGUGAACUGCAUGCAAAUAGAGUCUCUGGAGCUGAAGAAGCUUGUAUAUUUAUACCUUAUAAACUAUGCUAAAAGACAACCUGAUCUAUCUAUAAUUGUUGUGAAUACGUUUGUGAAGGUGCACAAGUUGGGAUGGAUUGGACUUCUAUCUUGAGAAAAUGCCAUGAUUUCAGGUA
RNA transcript from Magnolia sinica, 1752 nucleotides. RefSeq lists it as uncharacterized. Lineage: Eukaryota; Viridiplantae; Streptophyta; Magnoliopsida; Magnoliales; Magnoliaceae. The transcript is spliced from 4 exons. The record is from RefSeq and is a predicted model, not a curated record.